This 28-nucleotide small RNA is filed under the name Bombyx mori (domestic silkworm). Its description in RNAcentral is "piRNA piR-bmo-1358403". Lineage: Eukaryota; Metazoa; Arthropoda; Insecta; Lepidoptera; Bombycidae. The record is from RNAcentral.
UAGUGUUUGUCGUUCCAGCGUUGCUGUG